Molecule: non-coding RNA, 72 nt
Organism: Phrynosoma platyrhinos (Desert horned lizard)
Lineage: Eukaryota; Metazoa; Chordata; Lepidosauria; Squamata; Phrynosomatidae
Source: the annotation of a GenBank genome assembly
ACCAGUAUGGUGUAGUGGUUUGAGUGUUGGAUUAGGACUCUGGAGACCUGGGUUCGAAUCCCUGCUCUGCUA